This 90-nucleotide transfer RNA is filed under the name Opitutaceae bacterium. Its description in RNAcentral is "tRNA-Ser". It matches the Rfam family "tRNA". Rfam says of the family: Transfer RNA (tRNA) molecules are approximately 80 nucleotides in length. Their secondary structure includes four short double-helical elements and three loops (D, anti-codon, and T loops). Further hydrogen bonds mediate the characteristic L-shaped molecular structure. tRNAs have two regions of fundamental functional importance: the anti-codon, which is responsible for specific mRNA codon recognition, and the 3' end, to which the tRNAs corresponding amino acid is attached (by aminoacyl-tRNA synthetases). tRNAs cope with the degeneracy of the genetic code in two manners: having more than one tRNA (with a specific anti-codon) for a particular amino acid; and 'wobble' base-pairing, i.e. permitting non-standard base-pairing at the 3rd anti-codon position. The record is from RNAcentral. Lineage: Bacteria; Pseudomonadati; Verrucomicrobiota; Opitutia; Opitutales; Opitutaceae.
GGAGAGGUGGCAGAGUGGUCGAACGCGCCGCACUCGAAAUGCGGUUUACCUUUAAGGGUAACGGGGGUUCGAAUCCCUCCCUCUCCGCCA